Molecule: ribosomal RNA, 275 nt
Filed under: uncultured bacterium
Lineage: Bacteria
Description: partial 16S ribosomal RNA
Rfam family: Bacterial small subunit ribosomal RNA
Source: RNAcentral
CCUACGGGAGGCUGCAGCAAGGAAUUUUCGUCAAUGGGCGCAAGCCUGAACGAGCAACGCCGCGUGGGGGAUGACGGCCUUCGGGUUGUAAACCCCUUUUUGGGGGGACGAUAAUGACGGUACCCCCGGAAUAAGCCCCGGCUAACUCUGUGCCAGCAGCCGCGGUAAUACAGAGGGGGCAAGCGUUGUCCGGACUUACUGGGCGUAAAGCGCACGCAGGUGGCCGCGCAAGUGUUAUGUGAAAGCCCCGCGCUCAACGCGGGGAGGCCACGACA